Molecule: ribosomal RNA, 492 nt
Filed under: uncultured bacterium
Lineage: Bacteria
Description: bacterial SSU rRNA
Rfam family: Bacterial small subunit ribosomal RNA
Source: RNAcentral
AUUGAACGCUGGCGGCAUGCUUUACACAUGCAAGUCGAACGGCAGCACGGGCUUCGGCCUGGUGGCGAGUGGCGAACGGGUGAGUAAUGCAUCGGAACGUGCCCAUUUGUGGGGGAUAACUACGCGAAAGCGUGGCUAAUACCGCAUACGCCCUGAGGGGGAAACGGGGGAUUCUUCGGAACCUCGCGCAAUUGGAGCGGCCGAUGUCAGAUUAGCUUGUUGGUGAGGUAAAGGCUCACCAAGGCGACGAUCUGUAGCGGGUCUGAGAGGAUGAUCCGCCACACUGGGACUGAGACACGGCCCAGACUCCUACGGGGGCAGCAAUUAGGAAUCUUGCGCAAUGGGCGAAAGCCUGACGCAGCGACGCCGCGUGACUGAUGAAGUCUUUCGAGAUGUAAAGGUCUUUUGUUGGGGACGAAGGAAGUGACGGUACCCGACGAAUAAGCCCCGGCUAACUACCGUGCCCAGCCAGCCGCGGUAAGAGUGUGUGUA